ACCUACGGGAGGCAGCAGUAGGGAAUCUUCCACAAUGGGCGAAAGCCUGAUGGAGCAACGCCGCGUGGGUGAAGAAGGUCUUCGGAUCGUAAAACCCUGUUGAUAGAGAAGAAAGUGCGUGAGAGUAACUGUUCACGUUUCGACGGUAUCUAACCAGAAAGCCACGGCUAACUACGUGCCAGCAGCCGCGGUAAUACGUAGGUGGCAAGCGUUAUCCGGAUUUAUUGGGCGUAAAGAGAACGCAGGCGGUCUUUUAAGUCUGAUGUGAAAGCCUUCGGCUUAACCGGAGUAGUGCAUUGGAAACU
Molecule: ribosomal RNA, 305 nt
Filed under: uncultured bacterium
Lineage: Bacteria
Description: bacterial SSU rRNA
Rfam family: Bacterial small subunit ribosomal RNA
Source: RNAcentral